This 213-nucleotide ribosomal RNA is filed under the name Petasospora sp. RNAcentral's name for it is "Cyberlindnera sp. partial large subunit ribosomal RNA". The record is from RNAcentral. Lineage: Eukaryota; Fungi; Ascomycota; Saccharomycetes; Phaffomycetales; Wickerhamomycetaceae.
AAGGGUAUUGGAUUAGACUUGGUGUUUUGUGAUUAUCUUCCCUUCUUGGGUUGUGCACUCGCAUUUCACUGGGCCAGCAUCGGUUUGGAUGGCAAGAUAAUGGCUUGGGAACGUGGCACUCCUCGGAGUGUGUUAUAGCCCUUGUUGAUGUUGCCUAUCUAGACCGAGGACUGCGGCUUUUGCCUAGGAUGCUGGCGUAAUGAUUCAAUACCG